CUACGGGUCGCUGCGGUGGGGAAUCUUAGACAAUGGGGGAAACCCUGAUCUAGCCAUGCCGCGUGAGCGACGACGGCCCUAGGGUUGUAAAGCUCUUUCAGCAGGGAAGAUAAUGACGGUACCUGCAGAAGAAGUCCCGGCUAACUCCGUGCCAGCAGCCGCGGUAAUACGGAGGGGACAGCGUUGUUCGGAAUUACUGGGCGUAAAGCGCGCGUAGGCGGAUUGUUAAGUCGGGGGUGAAAUCCCGGGGCUCAACCCCGGAACUGCCCUCGAUACUGGCAGUCUUGAGUUCGAGAGAGGUGAGUGGAAUUCCGAGUGUAGAGGUGAAAUUCGUAGAUAUUCGGAGGAACACCAGUGGCGAAGGCGGCUCACUGGCUCGAUACUGACGCUGAGGUGCGAAAGCGUGGGGAGCAAACAGGAUUAGAUACCCUCGUAGUC
Molecule: ribosomal RNA, 438 nt
Filed under: uncultured bacterium
Lineage: Bacteria
Description: partial 16S ribosomal RNA
Rfam family: Bacterial small subunit ribosomal RNA
Source: RNAcentral